UAUUGCACAAUGGGCGAAAGCCUGAUGCAGCAACGCCGCGUGCGCGAUGAAGGCCUUCGGGUCGUAAAGCGCUUUUCGGGGGGAUGAGGAAGGACAGUACCCCCGGAAUAAGUCUCGGCUAACUACGUGCCAGCAGCCGCGGUAAAACGUAGGAGGCAAGCGUUAUCCGGAUUUAUUGGGCGUAAAGCGCGUGUAGGCGGCUCGGUCAGUCGGACGUGAAAUCUCCUGGCUCAACUGGGAGGGGCCGUUCGACACUACCGGGCUUGAGGGCAAGAGAGGGAGGUGGAAUUCCGGGUGUAGCGGUGAAAUGCGUAGAUAUCCGGAGGAACACCUGUGGCGAAAGCGGCCUCCUGGCUUGCCCCUGACGCUCAGACGCGAAAGCUAGGGGAGCGAACGGGAUUAGAAACCCCGGUAGUCCUAGCUGUAAACGAUGCAGACUUGGUGUUGGUGGCUUAAACCCCAUCAGUGCCGCAGCUAACGCGAUAAGUCUGCCGCCUGGGGACUACGACCGCAAGGUUA
RNAcentral lists this ribosomal RNA (519 nucleotides) under uncultured Chloroflexota bacterium. RNAcentral's name for it is "bacterial SSU rRNA". It matches the Rfam family "Bacterial small subunit ribosomal RNA", at positions 362 to 896 of the family's 1533-position model. Lineage: Bacteria; Bacillati; Chloroflexota. The record is from RNAcentral.